This 737-nucleotide ribosomal RNA is filed under the name uncultured Corynebacterium sp. RNAcentral describes it as "bacterial SSU rRNA". It matches the Rfam family "Bacterial small subunit ribosomal RNA", at positions 28 to 776 of the family's 1533-position model. Lineage: Bacteria; Bacillati; Actinomycetota; Actinomycetes; Mycobacteriales; Corynebacteriaceae. The record is from RNAcentral.
GACGAACGCUGGCGGCGUGCUUAACACAUGCAAGUCGAACGGAAAGGCCUGCAGCUUGCUGCGGGUACUCGAGUGGCGAACGGGUGAGUAACACGUGGGUGAUCUGCCUUGCACUUCGGGAUAAGCUUGGGAAACUGGGUCUAAUACCGGAUAGGACAGCUGUUUAGUGUCAGUUGUGGAAAGUUUUUUCGGUGCAAGAUGAGCUCGCGGCCUAUCAGCUUGUUGGUGGGGUAAUGGCCUACCAAGGCGUCGACGGGUAGCCGGCCUGAGAGGGUGUACGGCCACAUUGGGACUGAGAUACGGCCCAGACUCCUACGGGAGGCAGCAGUGGGGAAUAUUGCACAAUGGGCGGAAGCCUGAUGCAGCGACGCCGCGUGGGGGAUGAAGGCCUUCGGGUUGUAAACUCCUUUCGACAGGGACGAAGCGUAAGUGACGGUACCUGUAUAAGAAGCACCGGCUAACUACGUGCCAGCAGCCGCGGUAAUACGUAGGGUGCGAGCGUUGUCCGGAAUUACUGGGCGUAAAGAGCUCGUAGGUGGUUUGUCGCGUCGUCUGUGAAAUUCCGGGGCUUAACUCCGGGCGUGCAGGCGAUACGGGCUGACUUGAGUGCUGUGGGGGAGACUGGAAUUCCUGGUGUAGCGGUGAAAUGCGCAGAUAUCAGGAGGAACACCGAUGGCGAAGGCAGGUCUCUGGGCAGUAACUGACGCUGAGGAGCGAAAGCAUGGGUAGCGAACAGG